UACGUAGGGUGCAAGCGUUGUCCGGAAUUAUUGGGCGUAAAGAGCUCGUAGGCGGUCUGUUGCGUCGGCUGUGAAAACCCGGGGCUCAACUCCGGGCCUGCAGCCGAUACGGGCAGACUAGAGUUCGGCAGGGGAGACUGGAAUUCCUGGUGUAGCGGUGAAAUGCGCAGAUAUCAGGAGGAACACCGGUGGCGGAGGCGGGUCUCUGGGCCGAUACUGACGCUGAGGAGCGAAAGCGUGGGGAGCGAACAGG
Molecule: ribosomal RNA, 253 nt
Filed under: uncultured bacterium
Lineage: Bacteria
Description: partial 16S ribosomal RNA
Rfam family: Bacterial small subunit ribosomal RNA
Source: RNAcentral